Molecule: ribosomal RNA, 489 nt
Filed under: uncultured Sphingobacteriales bacterium
Lineage: Bacteria; Pseudomonadati; Bacteroidota; Sphingobacteriia; Sphingobacteriales
Description: bacterial SSU rRNA
Rfam family: Bacterial small subunit ribosomal RNA
Source: RNAcentral
GCUCAGAAACUCAAAGGAAUUGACGGGGCCCGCACAAGCGGAGGAACAUGUGGUUUUAAUUCGAUGAUACGCGAGGAACCUUACCUGGGCUUAAAUGGGGAGUGACAGCUGUCGAAAGAUGGUUUUCUUCGGACACUCUUCAAGGUGCUGCAUGGUUGUCGUCAGCUCGUGCCGUGAGGUGUCGGGUUAAGUCCCAUAACGAGCGCAACCCUUACCGUUAGUUACCAUCAGGUUAAGCUGGGGACUCUAGCGGGACUGCCACCGUAAGGUGAGAGGAAGGUGGGGAUGACGUCAAAUCAGCACGGCCCUUAUGUCCAGGGCUACACACGUGUUACAAUGGCCGGUACAAAGGGCAGCUACUUCGCGAGAAGAUGCUAAUCUCGAAAGCCGGUCUCAGUUCGGAUCGAAGUCUGCAACCCGACUUCGUGAAGCUGGAUUCGCUAGUAAUCGCGCAUCAGCCAUGGCGCGGUGAAUACGUUCCCGGGCCUU